Molecule: ribosomal RNA, 404 nt
Filed under: uncultured bacterium
Lineage: Bacteria
Description: bacterial SSU rRNA
Rfam family: Bacterial small subunit ribosomal RNA
Source: RNAcentral
GCACUUUAAGCAGUGAAGAAGACUCUUCGGUUAAUACCCGGAGACGAUGACAUUAGCUGCAGAAUAAGCACCGGCUAACUCUGUGCCAGCAGCCGCGGUAAUACAGAGGGUGCAAGCGUUAAUCGGAAUUACUGGGCGUAAAGGGAGCGUAGGUGGCUCUAUAAGUCAGAUGUGAAAUCCCCGGGCUCAACCUGGGAACUGCAUCUGAAACUGUAGAGCUAGAGUAGGUGAGAGGGAGGUAGAAUUUCAGGUGUAGCGGUGAAAUGCGUAGAGAUCUGAAGGAAUACCGAUGGCGAAGGCAGCCUCCUGGCAUAAUACUGACACUGAGACUCGAAAGCGUGGGUAGCAAACAGGAUUAGAUACCCUGGUAGUCCACGCCGUAAACGAUGUCUACUAGUCGUUGG